UUUUAUGUGCACGCCGUCUCCUGGAGCGGUUUUUGCCCUUUAUAAAAUCAAUAUUGGAGAGAGAAACCAAACACCACUUGAGAGGAAACCUUCUGCCUUUAAAUUCGAAAUCCCUAGAGUCUUCCAGCCGGCGAUUGAACCUAUAAUACUUACAAGUUACACGAUUCAACCCGUCAUCCCUACUCCCUCCUCUCAAUUUAGCCUUUGUUGCGAGCCUGGGACCGAUCAGUCGAGCUAGAUUUCGCGAGAACUGCUGCCGCCUUUCGCCUCCCAUCGUUGUCAUCCGUCUCCCGCCGUUGCCAUCGCAGUCAACCCAUAAACGGAGUGAUAAGUUGCAGAUAUUUUGCUAUGGAGAGAGGGGAGAAAACAUUUACUUGUUUUCUCUUGCUGGUUCUGCUCUAUCAUAUGCUACCACCAAUUAUGUUCUGAAUUCAUGUGCUGAAAGGAAGGUUUUCAAGACACCGAGCUCUUUUAACUAAAGAAGAUUGCUACCAUAUUUGACGGACAUUGUGAAAGAAAAAUCCAGUGCUUCACAUAUUGAAAUAAGAAUUUCCCAAUAAAUUGCAGAGUUAAGUGGUUUGAGUCCUAAAAUGCCUUCAUUGAUGGAAAAUGGUUGUGCUGCUAAACUUGAGUGUAUUGGAGCAUGGACUAAUCCUGCAGAUAGUUUCGAGUCGACUUUAACAAUGAUGAAUUGAAUAGUAGUGUGCUCUCCAUGUUCUAGAGGAUGGAUAUGCAGUAGCAACUCAUACAGGCUUGGGGUAGAAGGAAGAACUUUCUUGGGAAGAGUUUGGGAGGAUUAUUCACGAGUUAUAUAUUCGUAUUGUGAAUUUGAUGCCAUUGUAAGACCAGAAGAAUGGAAUGACCGGAGGAAACAACUAAAU
This is a long non-coding RNA of Olea europaea var. sylvestris, 881 nucleotides long. RefSeq lists it as uncharacterized. The transcript is spliced from 4 exons. The record is from RefSeq and is a predicted model, not a curated record. Lineage: Eukaryota; Viridiplantae; Streptophyta; Magnoliopsida; Lamiales; Oleaceae.